This 462-nucleotide ribosomal RNA is filed under the name Nocardia cerradoensis. RNAcentral describes it as "bacterial SSU rRNA". It matches the Rfam family "Bacterial small subunit ribosomal RNA", at positions 28 to 507 of the family's 1533-position model. Lineage: Bacteria; Bacillati; Actinomycetota; Actinomycetes; Mycobacteriales; Nocardiaceae. The record is from RNAcentral.
GACGAACGCUGGCGGCGUGCUUAACACAUGCAAGUCGAGCGGUAAGGCCCUUCGGGGUACACGAGCGGCGAACGGGUGAGUAACACGUGGGUGAUCUGCCUCGCACUCUGGGAUAAGCCUGGGAAACUGGGUCUAAUACCGGAUAUGACCACGAAUCGCAUGGUUGGUGGUGGAAAGAUUUAUCGGUGCGAGAUGGGCCCGCGGCCUAUCAGCUUGUUGGUGGGGUAAUGGCCUACCAAGGCGACGACGGGUAGCCGGCCUGAGAGGGCGACCGGCCACACUGGGACUGAGACACGGCCCAGACUCCUACGGGAGGCAGCAGUGGGGAAUAUUGCACAAUGGGCGGAAGCCUGAUGCAGCGACGCCGCGUGAGGGAUGACGGCCUUCGGGUUGUAAACCUCUUUCGACAGGGACGAAGCGCAAGUGACGGUACCUGUAGAAGAAGCACCGGCCAACUACGUG